AUUGAACGCUGGCGGUAGGCUUAACACAUGCAAGUCGAGCGGUAACAGAGAUAGCUUGCUAUCUGCUGACGAGCGGCGGACGGGUGAGUAACGCGUAGAAAUCUACCAAGUAGUGGGGGACAACCAGUGGAAACGCUGGCUAAUACCGCAUACGCCCUACGGGGGAAAGCGGGGGAUCUUCGGACCUCGUGCUAUUUGAUGAGUCUGCGUCGGAUUAGCUUGUUGGUGAGGUAAAGGCUCACCAAGGCGACGAUCCGUAGCUGGUUUGAGAGGAUGAUCAGCCACACUGGGACUGAGACACGGCCCAG
RNAcentral lists this ribosomal RNA (308 nucleotides) under uncultured bacterium. RNAcentral describes it as "bacterial SSU rRNA". It matches the Rfam family "Bacterial small subunit ribosomal RNA", at positions 30 to 334 of the family's 1533-position model. The record is from RNAcentral.